RNAcentral lists this ribosomal RNA (673 nucleotides) under Salmonella enterica subsp. enterica serovar Muenchen. RNAcentral's name for it is "partial 23S ribosomal RNA". It matches the Rfam family "Bacterial large subunit ribosomal RNA", at positions 2261 to 2925 of the family's 2925-position model. The record is from RNAcentral. Lineage: Bacteria; Pseudomonadati; Pseudomonadota; Gammaproteobacteria; Enterobacterales; Enterobacteriaceae. RNAcentral also lists the same sequence under 12 other names.
GUGGGUAGUUUGACUGGGGCGGUCUCCUCCUAAAGAGUAACGGAGGAGCACGAAGGUUGGCUAAUCCUGGUCGGACAUCAGGAGGUUAGUGCAAUGGCAUAAGCCAGCUUGACUGCGAGCGUGACGGCGCGAGCAGGUGCGAAAGCAGGUCAUAGUGAUCCGGUGGUUCUGAAUGGAAGGGCCAUCGCUCAACGGAUAAAAGGUACUCCGGGGAUAACAGGCUGAUACCGCCCAAGAGUUCAUAUCGACGGCGGUGUUUGGCACCUCGAUGUCGGCUCAUCACAUCCUGGGGCUGAAGUAGGUCCCAAGGGUAUGGCUGUUCGCCAUUUAAAGUGGUACGCGAGCUGGGUUUAGAACGUCGUGAGACAGUUCGGUCCCUAUCUGCCGUGGGCGCUGGAGAACUGAGGGGGGCUGCUCCUAGUACGAGAGGACCGGAGUGGACGCAUCACUGGUGUUCGGGUUGUCAUGCCAAUGGCACUGCCCGGUAGCUAAAUGCGGAAGAGAUAAGUGCUGAAAGCAUCUAAGCACGAAACUUGCCCCGAGAUGAGUUCUCCCUGAGACUUUAGGUCUCCUGAAGGAACGUUGAAGACGACGACGUUGAUAGGCCGGGUGUGUAAGCGCAGCGAUGCGUUGAGCUAACCGGUACUAAUGAACCGUGAGGCUUAACCUUACA